RNAcentral lists this long non-coding RNA (291 nucleotides) under Mytilus galloprovincialis (Mediterranean mussel). Lineage: Eukaryota; Metazoa; Mollusca; Bivalvia; Mytilida; Mytilidae. The record is from RNAcentral.
UUACUGUUAUAAUGAGAGAAAAAAUACCCCUAUUUUUUUAAUUUUUUUUUUUAAAUUAACUGUAAUCUUAUUUAUUGGCCUGUUAAUGGAACCCUUCUUGUCCCCUUUUAAGAUAAGAAAAUAUGUUUACGAUUUUCGGGAUUACGAUCAUUUUGCAAGAUCACCAAAAUACGUUGUAAUUUAUACAAAUUGAAUACUUAUAUAAAGUAGAUGAUGUGGUAUGUUUGUUGUAAAUGGACAAAUUUCCAUAAGAAACCAAAGGAAGUGUGUGUUAACAACCAUACGUCAUCG